Stegostoma tigrinum is the source of this 1098-nucleotide long non-coding RNA. RefSeq lists it as uncharacterized. The transcript has 3 exons. Lineage: Eukaryota; Metazoa; Chordata; Chondrichthyes; Orectolobiformes; Stegostomatidae. The record is from RefSeq and is a predicted model, not a curated record.
AGUUAGCAAAACAAAAUAUUUUGCAGGAGCGAGCAUUUGAAACUAAUUUUUUGAGAAGAACAUGCCUGAAAGUUAUCUAGAAAGAAGACAAAGAACCAUAAGGCAAGAUUGACAAGGAGAACAUAAUUGGCCACUUCACUUGUAUCAUGACCUGCCAUCCCCAGAAUCAGCCUGGUAAACCUUCGCUGCACUGCCUUGACAGCAAGAGCACCAUUCCUCAGAAAAGGAGACCAAAACUGCAUACAAUAUUCCAGGUGUGAUCUCACUAAAGCCCUGUAUAACUGCAACAACACAUUCGUGCUCCUGUACUCAAAACGUCUUGCAAAGAAGCCCAUCAUACCAGCAUACCAGUUCUUUGAGGAGGUGACCAGACUGGUGGAUGAAGCUAUCUCGGAGAAAUGCUGAUCAGAUUCCAAGAACUUUGCUGCAGGAGGGAAUUAAAAUCAGUUAGUGAGUCAUCUCUGACCACUUUAAUUCACUUCCAAGUAUGCUGCUCAGGGACAACUAGACAGAUUCUUGGAGCCAGAUCAACCUUCCGCAUGUUGAAAGUGCAUCAUAAAUAAAUGUAAUGAAUAGAAUCAGCAGACAUAAUAAAACAUCUGGAAAUGACUGCUGGCUAAUCAUCAUCAAGAUCUUGAAAAUGUGACAAAAUAAUGAAACAAUGGUGAUAUAGAACAAUAAAAUUCGUGCCUCCGGAGGUUGUCCAUUUAUAAGAUCAUUUUUGGUUCAGUUCCGAUUAUUUCACCACAGAAACGUUGAAGAAAUUUAAGGAAGAUCUUGAAGACUUAGCCCAAAAGUAAAUCAAAUAACUUGUGAAGAAAUAUUACAGGAACUUAACUGCAAAAGUAUCAAAGUCCUUUGUUUGUUGUCUGUGAGAAUGUGAUUGGUUGCUUAUGAUGCUUGCUGUCAUUACUGCUUUUGGACAUCCGAGGACACCCUUUUCACUACUGUCAGAUUAAAACCUCGAUUGGGAAUCUGUGUGACGGUGAUCAUUACUUAUGUGAGCAGAUUCCUGCAAGGCCAGCAAUGAGUUCUAUUGCCUAGGCACUGGAUCAAACUGUCAAAUAUGUUACAAAUAAAUACCUGUAAAUAAUAUUG